Molecule: transfer RNA, 81 nt
Organism: Baudoinia panamericana
Lineage: Eukaryota; Fungi; Ascomycota; Dothideomycetes; Mycosphaerellales; Teratosphaeriaceae
Rfam family: tRNA
About the family: Transfer RNA (tRNA) molecules are approximately 80 nucleotides in length. Their secondary structure includes four short double-helical elements and three loops (D, anti-codon, and T loops). Further hydrogen bonds mediate the characteristic L-shaped molecular structure. tRNAs have two regions of fundamental functional importance: the anti-codon, which is responsible for specific mRNA codon recognition, and the 3' end, to which the tRNAs corresponding amino acid is attached (by aminoacyl-tRNA synthetases). tRNAs cope with the degeneracy of the genetic code in two manners: having more than one tRNA (with a specific anti-codon) for a particular amino acid; and 'wobble' base-pairing, i.e. permitting non-standard base-pairing at the 3rd anti-codon position.
Source: Rfam
GGCCGCUUGGCUCAAUGGUAGAGCGUCCGCCUCCUACGUUUAGGUAGCGGAAGGUUGUGGGUUCGAGUCCCAUGGUGGUCG